GGUUACGGUUACGUGCCAGCAGCCGCGGCGGUAAUACCAGCACCCCGAGUGGUCGGGACGAUUAUUGGGCCUAAAGCAUCCGUAGCUUGUCCUGCAAGUCCUCCGUUAAAUCCACCUGCUCAACAGAUGGGCUGCGGGGGAUACUACAGGGCUAGGAGGCGGGAGAGGCAAACGGUACUCAGUGGGUAGGGGUAAAAUCCUCUGAUCCACUGAAGACCACCAGUGGCGAAGGCGGUUUGCCAGAACGCGCUCGACGGUGAGGGAUGAAAGCUGGGGGAGCAAACCGGAUUAGAUACCCGGGUAGUCCCAGCUGUAAACGAUGCAGACUCGGUGAUGGGUUGGCUUCGCGCCAACCCAGUGCCGCAGGGAAGCCGUUAAGUCUGCCGCCUGGGGAGUACGGUCGCAAGACUG
This 411-nucleotide ribosomal RNA is filed under the name uncultured crenarchaeote. RNAcentral's name for it is "bacterial SSU rRNA". It matches the Rfam family "Archaeal small subunit ribosomal RNA", at positions 444 to 851 of the family's 1478-position model. Lineage: Archaea; Thermoproteati; Thermoproteota. The record is from RNAcentral.